RNAcentral lists this ribosomal RNA (405 nucleotides) under uncultured bacterium. RNAcentral's name for it is "partial 16S ribosomal RNA". It matches the Rfam family "Bacterial small subunit ribosomal RNA", at positions 30 to 526 of the family's 1533-position model. The record is from RNAcentral.
AUUGAACGCUGGCGGCAGGCCUAACACAUGCAAGUCGAACGAGUGGCGGACGGGUGAGUAAUGUCUGGGAAACUGCCUGAUGGAGGGGGAUAACUACUGGAAACGGUAGCUAAUACCGCAUACCAUCGGAUGUGCCCAGAUGGGAUUAGCUAGUAGGUGGGGUCACGGCUCACCUAGGCGACGAUCCCUAGCUGGUCUGAGAGGAUGACCAGCCACACUGGAACUGAGGCACGGGCCAGGCUCCCACGGGAGGCAGCAGUGGGGAAUAUUGCACAAUGGGCGCAAGCCUGAUGCAGCCAUGCCGGGUGUAUGAAGAAGGCCUUCGGGUUGGAAAGUACUUUCAGCGGGGAGGCGUUACCCGCAGAAGAAGCACCGGCUAACUCCGUGCCAGCAGCCGCGUAAUUC